Molecule: non-coding RNA, 115 nt
Organism: Paramuricea clavata
Lineage: Eukaryota; Metazoa; Cnidaria; Anthozoa; Malacalcyonacea; Plexauridae
Source: the annotation of a GenBank genome assembly
AUAUUUUCUGUGUUGAUGUAAUGUACUCAGGUGAAUAUAUGAGUCUCAGAGUAACAUCACAAGCAUAUAUUCACCUGAGUACAUUGCAUCAACACAGAAAAUAUCAUGAUUACUA